Long non-coding RNA from Alosa alosa (allis shad), 339 nucleotides. RefSeq lists it as uncharacterized. The record is from RefSeq and is a predicted model, not a curated record. The transcript has 2 exons. Lineage: Eukaryota; Metazoa; Chordata; Actinopteri; Clupeiformes; Clupeidae.
CAUCCAGCAAGUCCCAGCCUGGAGCCAGAGGCUGGCACAGCACUUCAGAUGGGGGAGGAUCUAUGUUAGGCAUCAGAAAGGUGGUUUAAGCAAGAAGGCAAGAGCUUCUGCAGACAGUGUUGCAAUUAGACACCUGACUUUUACUGAGUCCCUUUUCUGGUUUGUUUUGGAUGAACUAGAGUGGUGGGCACAGAAAUUUUGUCGAUGGGUCAAACAUUCAUACACUCACACUCACUCACACAACCACACUUGUGGAUUUGUCAAGCAACAAAUCUUUGUAUAUAAUCUGUUGUUCAUUGAAUAUGCUUAAUAAAUGUUGUCUUCUUGACUUGUACAUCA